AAGGGUUACGGUUCUUUUAGAAUUUGUACAUCAGGUUUUCUGGUUUGUGCCAGAAAGCCCCU
This is a small nuclear RNA of Callithrix jacchus (white-tufted-ear marmoset), 62 nucleotides long. Its record names the gene U7. It matches the Rfam family "U7 small nuclear RNA". Rfam says of the family: Animal histone pre-mRNAs are spliced by a different mechanism than nuclear pre-mRNAs and self-splicing introns. This processing involves the U7 snRNP, which contains only one RNA species: U7. The record is from Ensembl. NCBI's taxonomy places the organism in Eukaryota, Metazoa, Chordata, Mammalia, Primates, Cebidae.